Molecule: small nuclear RNA, 111 nt
Organism: Terrapene triunguis (Three-toed box turtle)
Lineage: Eukaryota; Metazoa; Chordata; Testudines; Emydidae
Source: Ensembl
GUGCUCGCUUCGGCAGCACAUAUACUAAAAUUGGAACGAUACAGAGAAGAUUAGCAUUGGCUAAUAUGCCCAUGUAUGAGACAAAAUGCAGGAACAGUUGAAACUAUUUUU